RNAcentral lists this unclassified non-coding RNA (253 nucleotides) under uncultured Alphaproteobacteria bacterium. Its description in RNAcentral is "contains 16S-23S intergenic spacer region". It matches the Rfam family "Bacterial small subunit ribosomal RNA", at positions 524 to 776 of the family's 1533-position model. The record is from RNAcentral. Lineage: Bacteria; Pseudomonadati; Pseudomonadota; Alphaproteobacteria.
GACGGAGGGUGCUAGCGUUGUUCGGAAUGACUGGGCGUAAAGGGCGCGUAGGCGGCUUGGCAAGUCGGGUGUGAAGGCCCGGGGCUCAACCCCGGAACGGCAUCCGAGACUUUCAGGCUCGAGACCGGGAGAGGAGGGUGGAAUACCCAGUGUAGAGGUGAAAUUCGUAGAUAUUGGGUGGAACACCGGUGGCGAAAGCGGCUCUCUGGCCCGGAUCUGACGCUGAGGCGCGAAAGCGUGGGGAGCAAACAGG